CCCAGACUCCUACGGGAGGCAGCAGUGGGGAAUAUUGCACAAUGGGGGGAACCCUGAUGCAGCGACGCCGCGUGGGCGAGGAAGUAUUUCGGUAUGUAAAGCCCUAUCGGCAGGGAAGAAGAAAUGACGGUACCUGAGUAAGAAGCAUCGGCUAACUCCGUGCCAGCAGCCGCGGGAAUACGGAGGAUGCGAGCGUUAUCCGGAUUUAUUGGGUUUAAAGGGUGCGUAGGCGGAUUAGUAAGUCAGCGGUAAAAAUGCGGUGCUCAACGCCGUAUCGCCGUUGAAACUGCGGGUCUCGAGUGAGCGAGAAGUAUGCGGAAUGCGUGGUGUAGCGGUGAAAUGCAUAGAUAUCACGCAGAACUCCGAUUGCGAAGGCAGCAUACCGGCGCUCAACUGACGCUGAGGCACGAAAGCGUGGGGAUCGAACAGGAUUAGAUACCCCCGUAA
This 447-nucleotide ribosomal RNA is filed under the name uncultured bacterium. RNAcentral's name for it is "partial 16S ribosomal RNA". It matches the Rfam family "Bacterial small subunit ribosomal RNA", at positions 330 to 793 of the family's 1533-position model. The record is from RNAcentral.